CAUUUCUUGGGCUGCUCUCAUGGCGUAUGGAGGUUCCCAGACUAGGGAUCUAAUCGGAGCUGUAGCCGCCAGCCUACACCACAGCCACAGCAAUGCUGGAUGCAAGCCACAUCUGUGACCUACACCACAGCUCAUGGCAAUGCCGGAUCCUUAACCCACUGAGCAAGGCCAGGGAUUGAACCCGCAAACUCGUGGUUUCUAGUCGGAUUCGUUAACCACUGCUCCACAAUGGGAACUCCACCUUCUCCACAUUUAAUUUUCCAAAUUUCUCUCUCUGAAACUAUAUGGCUGGAAUGAAGAAUCAAAAACAAAUAUGUAGGCAAAUAAGCAAACAAACAAAGCAUUGACUUCAUUUUUCCCUUACUAGACAACUAGAACCUAAGUUCUUUGAGGUUAGAAAUGCUGUAUACUCUAUUGUACUAGGCUGAAGAAUGGCCCUCUCUCUCUGCAAAAUGUCCACAUCUAAUUCCUAGACCCUGUGACUGUUAUUUUAGAUGGCAAAUGGGACUCUGCAGAUAAGGAGACUUCCCCUAGAGCUUUGAGAAGGAACUAGCUCUGCCAAUCCUCUGAUUUUAGCCCAGCAAAACUGAUUUCAGACUUCAGAUCACCAGAAUGUUUAAGAGAAGGAAUGGCUGUUUUUGAAGUGCCAUGUUUUGGGUAAUUUGCUAAAGAAGCAAUAGAAAACUAAUAAACUCACAGAUCAUUUCAUGCCUUUCAUGUCUAGCCCAGUGCUUGGCAUAAAAUAGAGACUCAUAAAUUGUUAUUUACUGAAUGAACUGAAAAUAUAAGUGAAGGGAAUCAUGAGAAUGGAAUGUACCCAAUGCAUGACAACAUUUUUUGGUUUAAAAAAAUUCCAUAUUUAUAAGGAUGAGAAGUACAUUUCUUUAAGGCUCAACUGGGUGUACGGUUACUCAACUAUCCACUACAAGAACCCAGAGUUUAGGCAGCUUUGAAUUAGCUCUUUAGGGCUUGCAAGCUCUUUCCUGGGAGUAGGUGCAUGUGGCUGUAGAGCAUGAUAAACAGCUUUUUGAAGCCAAUUGCUUUAAGAAUAUCUACUUAGCGCUUCUAGGGAGUCACAGCACCAGGAAGACUGGGAGGAAGAGGAAGAAGAGGCAGUGUCCAACUGUACAAUACAAAUACCAGCACCUUGAAGAAAGUCUAGUAUUUAUUAGGCACUCAAGAAAAUUCGAGAAUAGAUGUCAUUUAGAGCCCCUGUAUAUAUGUGAUCCUUCACCCCCACCCCAAUGCCCUUCCCUAAGCCUUCUACAAUCUCAAUCUCCAGGACACCUCUGUCUGCUCUGCCUUUCUAGAUGUAAUUUCUUUUUCUUUUUUCUUUUUUGCUUUUUAGUGGCGCACCCACGGCAUACGGAAGUUCCCAGGCUAGGGGUCCAAUUAGAGCUACAGCUGCUGGCCUACACCACAGCCACAGCUACGCCAGAUCUGAGCGGUGUCUGUGACCUACACCACGGCUCAUGUGGCAAUGCUGGAUUCUUAGCAAGGCCAGGGAUCAAACCCUCACCGUCGUGGAUCCUAGUCAUGUGUGUUAAUGACUGAGCCACAAAAGGAACUCCUCUAGAUAGCACUUUGCAACUUCAGACACCACCCCCCACCCCAACAUGCCACAUAUAUUUUGGGCACAGGGACUGCAGAUCACAGUAAUAUACCCUGAUUUUUAUGGAACCCUCUUACUUGUCCAAUUUUUAUAGGUCUUAUCAUUUAAAGAAAAAGAAAUUAAGCCAUUCUGGCUAACUGAAAAAUAGUUCCCCUAAGGAACUUACCACUUAAUGACUGUAUUAGUGAUUAACAGAAACUUCCCACUCAGGAUUCUUUUAGAUUUAUCAUAGAGAUAAAAUCAAUACCUUCCACCAAACUGAUAUUUUUGAAAUACAGGAACAGAAAAAAAAAUUAAUUAUAAAGACUAGAAAUAACUCCAGUUCUCCCAGUUUAAGAUCUGGCUAACUUUUUUUCUUUUUUUUUUUGUAAUGGCUGCACCCUCAGCAUAUGGAAGUUCCUGGGCCAAGGACUGAAUCCAAGCUGCAGUUGUGACCUGCGCCACAGCUGUGGCAACACCAGGUCCUUAACCUGCUGUGUCACAGGGGGGAGCUCCAUGGCUGACUCUUAAGAUCAUAAUUUAGGAAUGGAUAGUCCUUGGGGAGCAUCUAGGCCUGAUUCCUCACCUCCCAGAUGGAAACUGAGGCGCAGGUGGCAUUUCACAGAUUGCAUUGUCUAGAAAAACAACAAUAUUUUCCUGGCAGUGGGGCCCAGGCCUUUUGAGUCCCGAAUCCAACGUGCAUAUCCAUCUGCCCUGCUUCAUUAGAUGAUGGUACAAGGGGUUGGAGGCACAGAGAAAUAAGCAGACACCAACCUUGCUUUCAAGGUGUUUACAGUCUAGCAGGGGAGAUCACACAUCAUUACCUAAAAAUAAUGAUACAAGGUGAAAAGAGAUAAGCUCUACAAAAGUGGUAUCAAUUAAAAAGGAAUCUUUAAAUCACUGACCCUUGAAAAAAAAUUUUUUUAUACAAUAGUAACCUAACCUAUGAAACAGUGAAAUUCUUCCUUUUUCAAGACUCCUUGAAACCAA
This 2581-nucleotide long non-coding RNA is filed under the name Sus scrofa (pig). RNAcentral's name for it is "lncRNA (ENSSSCG00005021751.1)". Lineage: Eukaryota; Metazoa; Chordata; Mammalia; Artiodactyla; Suidae. The record is from RNAcentral.